GAGUUUGAUCUUGGCUCAGAUUGAACGCUGGCGGCAUGCCUUACACAUGCAAGUCGAACGGUAACAGGUCUUCGGAUGCUGACGAGUGGCGAACGGGUGAGUAAUACAUCGGAACGUGCCCCGAUCGUGGGGGGAUAACGGAGCGAAAGACUUUGCUAAUACCGCAUACGAUCUACGGAUGAAGCAGGGGACCGCAAGGCCUUGCGCGGACGGAGCGGCCGAUGGCAGAUUAGGUAGUUGGUGGGGAUAAAAGACUUACCAAGCCGACGAUCUGUAGCUGGUCUGAGAGGACGACCAGCCACACUGGGACUGAGACACGGCCCAGACUCCUACGGGGAGGCAGCAGUUGGGGAAUUUUGGACAAUGGGCGAAAGCCUGAUCCAGCCAUGCCGCGUGCAGGAUGAAGGCCUCGGUUGUAACUGCUUUGUACGGACGAAAGACU
Molecule: ribosomal RNA, 442 nt
Filed under: uncultured microorganism
Description: bacterial SSU rRNA
Rfam family: Bacterial small subunit ribosomal RNA
Source: RNAcentral